This 81-nucleotide transfer RNA is filed under the name Cryptococcus depauperatus CBS 7841. RNAcentral describes it as "tRNA-Gly". It matches the Rfam family "tRNA". Rfam says of the family: Transfer RNA (tRNA) molecules are approximately 80 nucleotides in length. Their secondary structure includes four short double-helical elements and three loops (D, anti-codon, and T loops). Lineage: Eukaryota; Fungi; Basidiomycota; Tremellomycetes; Tremellales; Cryptococcaceae. The record is from RNAcentral.
ACACCGUUGGUGAAACGGUAUCAUGCAUCGUUGCCAUUUGAGAUUUUCGAUGCGGCAGGGGUUCGACUCCCCUACGGUGUA